RNAcentral lists this ribosomal RNA (253 nucleotides) under uncultured bacterium. RNAcentral describes it as "partial 16S ribosomal RNA". It matches the Rfam family "Bacterial small subunit ribosomal RNA", at positions 524 to 776 of the family's 1533-position model. The record is from RNAcentral.
UACGUAAGUGGCAAGCGUUGUCCGGAUUUACUGGGCGUAAAGAGCGCGCAGGCGGUCGUUCAAGUCGCGUGUGAAAGCCCCCGGCUCAACUGGGGAGGGUCACGCGAUACUGAUCGACUCGAAGGCAGGAGAGGGUAGUGGAAUUCCCGGUGUAGUGGUGAAAUGCGUAGAUAUCGGGAGGAACACCAGUGGCGAAGGCGACUACCUGGCCUGUUCUUGACGCUGAGGCGCGAAAGCUAGGGGAGCAAACGGG